CGGAGCCCGCAAGGGUGACGACGUACCUUUUGUAUAAUGGGUCUGCGACUUAGUCUGGCGAGCAAGCUUAAGGCGAUAGCUGUAGGCGAAGCGAAAGCGAGUCUGAACAGGGCGUUCAGUUCGUCGGACUAGACCCGAAACCAGUCGAUCUAUCCAUGGCCAGGUUGAAAGCAGGGUAACACCUGCUGGAGGACCGAACCGGUGCCUGUUGAAAAAGUCUCGGAUGAGCUGUGGAUAGGGGUGAAAGGCCAAUCAAGGCUGGAAAUAGCUGGUUCUCCGCGAAAUCUAUUUAGGUAGAGCCUCGAGUGAAUACCCCAGGGGGUAGAGCACUGGAUGGGCUAGGGGCCCCCACAGGGUUACCAAACCUAACCAAACUCCCGAAUACCUGGGAGUACUGCUCGGGAGACACACGGCGGGUGCUAACGUCCGUC
Molecule: ribosomal RNA, 431 nt
Filed under: uncultured bacterium
Lineage: Bacteria
Description: bacterial LSU rRNA
Rfam family: Bacterial large subunit ribosomal RNA
Source: RNAcentral